This is a small nucleolar RNA of Malania oleifera, 81 nucleotides long. RefSeq annotates it as small nucleolar RNA U31b. Lineage: Eukaryota; Viridiplantae; Streptophyta; Magnoliopsida; Santalales; Ximeniaceae. The transcript has a single exon. The record is from RefSeq and is a predicted model, not a curated record.
GGAUAUGAUGAUAGUAUUUGUCGCCCCAGUCUUACUUGCAUCUGCUGAUGCUGGAUGGUGAUUGACACUCUUAUCUGAUUC